AAGUCGUAACAAGGUUUCCGUAGGUGAACCUGCGGAAGGAUCAUUACCGAGUUGAUUCGGGCUCCGGCCCGAUCCUCCCACCCUUUGUGUACCUACCUCUGUUGCUUUGGCGGGCCGCGGUCCUCCGCGGCCGCCCCCCUCCCCGGGGGGUGGCCAGCGCCCGCCAGAGGACCAUCAAACUCCAGUCAGUAAACGAUGCAGUCUGAAAAACAUUUAAUAAACUAAAACUUUCAACAACGGAUCUCUUGGUUCUGGCAUCGAUGAAGAACGCAGCGAAAUGCGAUAAGUAAUGUGAAUUUCAGAAUUCAGUGAAUCAUCGAAUCUUUGAACGCACAUUGCGCCCUUUGGUAUUCCGAAGGGCAUGCCUGUUCGAGCGUCAUUACAACCCUCAAGCUCUGCUUGGUAUUGGGCACCGUCCUUUGCGGGCGCGCCUCAAAGACCUCGGCGGUGGCGUCUUGCCUCAAGCGUAGUAGAACAUACAUCUCGCUUCGGAGCGCAGGGCGUCGCCCUCCGGACGAACCUUCUGAACUUUUCUCAAGGUUGACCUCGGAUCAGGUAGGGAUACCCGCUGAACUUAA
RNAcentral lists this ribosomal RNA (578 nucleotides) under Botryosphaeria dothidea. Its description in RNAcentral is "eukaryotic LSU rRNA". The stretch from base 226 to 379 matches the Rfam family "5.8S ribosomal RNA". Lineage: Eukaryota; Fungi; Ascomycota; Dothideomycetes; Botryosphaeriales; Botryosphaeriaceae. The record is from RNAcentral.